RNAcentral lists this long non-coding RNA (1693 nucleotides) under Equus caballus (horse). RNAcentral's name for it is "lncRNA (ENSECAG00000034179.2)". Lineage: Eukaryota; Metazoa; Chordata; Mammalia; Perissodactyla; Equidae. The record is from RNAcentral.
AAUGGGCUCAUUCGGGGAGGCGUUUAUUUCCACUCUGCAUCAGAGCCUUCAUGUGGAAGGUGACAUCGAAACAGAAAAGGACAUCAGGAAGGCAGAAAGUCAUUUCAGGUGGCAAGGGAAUAACAUGAGUGAAGGCAGGGAAGAGGGAAAGUGGCUCAGCUGAGGCAGCUCAGAGGGAAAGUGGCUCAGCUGAGGCAGGUCAGAGAACGCAGAGACUAAGAGUAUAGCGUCUGGGGACCCACGGCCUGGGCGCAGAAACUUGGCUUUACCUCUUGUGAGCAAGUAAGUUCAUCUCUCUUGGUUUGUUUCUGCAUCUGUAAAAUGGAGCUCCGAAUGGUAGCCAUCUCACGGGGUCUUUGUGAGGAUUAAAUGAGGUGAUCUACGCAGACCCUUAGCGCAGUGUCUGGCUCACAGCAGGCCCCAGGGCAGGAUCUGGGGACAGGGUGAUACAGAGGGUGUGACCUGGGAAUGGUCUUAACUUGCAAACAACAGAGUCUCCAAGUAAUGGCUGAAUUUAGUGGCUGAAAUAGAAAAUAAUUUCCCUUUCAGUUAAGAAUCUGGAGGUAGGCAAUCCAGAGCUGUUAUGGUGGCUCCAUUCCACCAAGUCCUCAGGGCCCAGUUCCUUCUCGCUUCUGCUUCGUCAUCCCUGUGGUGUGGCCCUUGUCGUCAUAGUCCAGGAUGGCACCUCGGUCGUGACAUUCGUGUCCCAGUCGGCAGGAUGAGGCGUGCAUCCACUGUCUCUUUAGGUUCCCAGAAGCUGCCUCCGGACAUUUGCACCGGCAUCCUAUUCACUUGAAUUUGGUCACUUGGCCACACCUAGCUGCAGGGAAACAUAAUCUUUUUUUCUGGGUGGCCCUCUUUCCAGCUAAACUUUCUUUUAGUAACAGAAGAAGGGGGAAACAGACGUUGGAGGAAGCUAACAGUCUCUUACCAAGAGAGAUAAGACGGAAGCCAGAUUACAGAGGUCUUCAAGGCGGUCCACGGAAUUGGUACCUUGCUGCUCGGCUCUGUGGAGCAGUUGAUAGUCUCAGUGUAGGGAGUUCAUACGACUGGAGGCUGUUCGUGGUGAUGGGCUCUGCCGUGGUUCCUCAAACCAGCAAUACUCGCGUACUUUCAAGAGCAGCUACUUUCAAUUAAAACAAAAAUGCCCCCCUCCCAUCUUCCAACAUCCUUUGCCACUCUCCCUCCUCUUUACAGAAGGGAAGAGGCAGCUGAGGGGAGGCAGUGUGCGAAGGCAGCCCUUCCACCUGGCGGCUCUCCCUUGGACCUCCUCCAGUGGCCCCCUGGCCCUCUCGAAAUGUGCCGAGAAGAGAAAUCAUCCCCUCGGAGAGGUGGGCAGUGCCGAGUAGAGGGUGCUGGUUCUCUCCAUGUGCGAGCAAAAAUGGCUGUAGGCAACCACAGACUCAGUCCUCCUAACUUCUCAUCCUCAUUGGAAGAGACCGUCUUCCGUAUUUGCUCCAGCGGAAAAGCCCCAUCCGUGGACCAACUGAGGCUAGUGGAAUGGAUCACACUAGUUGGCCGGGCCUGGUUCAUUUGCCCCUCCAGCACCAUCUCUACCCAGAUUGCAUGAGUGGGUUACGCCAGAAAAGAAGGGUUCUGUAACCAAGAAAUAGAGGGUGGAGUGUUGCUGCACAGGUGAAAGCCAAGAUGUGCAUGCUGCCUCCCAUUUAGGAACAAGACUUGUUUUAAUUUU